RNAcentral lists this transfer RNA (74 nucleotides) under Myxococcales bacterium. RNAcentral describes it as "tRNA-Gln". It matches the Rfam family "tRNA". Rfam says of the family: Transfer RNA (tRNA) molecules are approximately 80 nucleotides in length. Lineage: Bacteria; Pseudomonadati; Myxococcota; Myxococcia; Myxococcales. The record is from RNAcentral.
UCUCCGGUCGUCUAAUGGCAGGACGCGGGCUUUUGGUGCCCGUUAUCGAGGUUCGAGUCCUCGCCGGAGAACCC